Molecule: ribosomal RNA, 285 nt
Filed under: Babesia caballi
Lineage: Eukaryota; Apicomplexa; Aconoidasida; Piroplasmida; Babesiidae
Description: partial 18S ribosomal RNA
Rfam family: Eukaryotic small subunit ribosomal RNA
Source: RNAcentral
AAACUUGUUGCAGUUAAAAAGCUCGUAGUUGAAUUUCUGCGUUGCGUUUUUCUUGCUUUUUGCUUGACUUUCGCUUCGCUUUUUUGUUUUACUUUGAGAAAAUUAGAGUGUUUAUCGCAGACUUUUGUCUUGAAUACUUCAGCAUGGAAUAAUAGAGUAGGACCUUGGUUCUAUUUUGUUGGUUUUUGAGCCUUGGUAAUGGUUAAUAGGAACGGUUGGGGGCAUUCGUAUUUAACUGUCAGAGGUGAAAUUCUUAGAUUUGUUAAAGACAAACUACUGCGAAAG